AUUGAACGCUGGCGGCAUGCCUUACACAUGCAAGUCGAACGGCAGCACGGGAGCAAUCCUGGUGGCGAGUGGCGAACGGGUGAGUAAUGUAUCGGAACGUGCCCAGUCGUGGGGGAUAACGCAGCGAAAGCUGUGCUAAUACCGCAUACGAUCUAUGGAUGAAAGCGGGGGAUCGCAAGACCUCGCGCGAUUGGAGCGGCCGAUACCAGAUUAGCUAGUUGGUGGGGUAAAAGCUUACCAAGGCGACGAUCUGUAGCUGGUCUGAGAGGACGACCAGCCACACUGGAACUGAGACACGGUCCAGACUCCUACGGGAGGCAGCAGUGGGGCAUUUUGGACAAUGGGCGCAAGCCUGAUCCAGCAAUACCGCGUGCAGGAUGAAGGCCUUCGGGUUGUAAACUGCUUUUGUACGGAGCGAAAAGGCUCUCUCUAAUACAGGGGGCUCAUGACGGUACCGUAAGAAUAAGCACCGGCUAACUACGUGCCAGCCGCCGCCGUAA
Molecule: ribosomal RNA, 500 nt
Filed under: uncultured bacterium
Lineage: Bacteria
Description: partial 16S ribosomal RNA
Rfam family: Bacterial small subunit ribosomal RNA
Source: RNAcentral